Molecule: long non-coding RNA, 389 nt
Filed under: Ananas comosus (pineapple)
Lineage: Eukaryota; Viridiplantae; Streptophyta; Magnoliopsida; Poales; Bromeliaceae
Description: long non-coding RNA (ACOM_LNC007921)
Source: RNAcentral
UAAAUAAAUUUGAAAAUAUUAGAAGUUAAAGAGGGGCUAAUAAUAAAAUUUAGGGUAAAUUUCAAAUACCACUUAUGUGAUUUUACACUUUCUCAUCUUAGAAUCUUAUAGGUCAAAAUGUAUCAAUUUAGUAUAUCGUGGUUUCAUUUUUUUUUUCGUUAAAUUAUAUAAAAAACUUUAGAUACUCUAUCUAAGUUUAUCGAAUAUUCAUUUUAAUACUUUUUAGUUUUAACUUCGUAACUGAUUUAAUAAAAAGAAAAUAGCAGAAGAGAUAAUAAAGAAAAUAACAGUGUACUAAAUAAAUACACUUUAAAUUAUAAGGUACAAAAGUAAGAAUAUGUGAAACUACAGGGGUGGUAUUUGAAAUUUUCUCUAAAAUUUAGUAUUCA